GCUGGCGUAGCUCAGCGGUAGAGCAGCUGAUUCGUAAUCAGCAGGGCGUGGGUUCAAAUCCCACCGCCAGCUCUA
This 75-nucleotide transfer RNA is filed under the name Candidatus Chryseopegocella kryptomonas. RNAcentral's name for it is "Candidatus Chrysopegis kryptomonas tRNA_Thr_CGT". It matches the Rfam family "tRNA". From Rfam's summary of the family: Transfer RNA (tRNA) molecules are approximately 80 nucleotides in length. Their secondary structure includes four short double-helical elements and three loops (D, anti-codon, and T loops). The record is from RNAcentral. Lineage: Bacteria; Pseudomonadati; Candidatus Kryptoniota. RNAcentral also lists the same sequence under 1 other name.